This 253-nucleotide ribosomal RNA is filed under the name uncultured bacterium. RNAcentral's name for it is "partial 16S ribosomal RNA". It matches the Rfam family "Bacterial small subunit ribosomal RNA", at positions 524 to 776 of the family's 1533-position model. The record is from RNAcentral.
UACAGAGGGUGCGAGCGUUGUUCGGAAUUAUUGGGCGUAAAGGGCGCGUAGGCGGUGCGGUAAGUCACCUGUGAAAUCUCCUGGCUCAACUGGGAGCUUGCAGGCGAAACUGCCGUGCUGGAGUGUGGGAGAGGUGCGUGGAAUUCCUGGUGUAGCGGUGAAAUGCGUAGAUAUCAGGAGGAACACCUGUGGCGAAAGCGGCGCACUAGACCACAACUGACGCUGAGGCGCGAAAGCUAGGGGAGCAAACAGG